Molecule: ribosomal RNA, 433 nt
Filed under: uncultured bacterium
Lineage: Bacteria
Description: partial 16S ribosomal RNA
Rfam family: Bacterial small subunit ribosomal RNA
Source: RNAcentral
AACGAACGCUGGCGGCAUGCCUAACACAUGCAAGUCGAACGAGACAUUCGGGUUUAGUGGCGCACGGGUGGGUGAAGGGUGGGAACCUGCCCAUAGGUUUGGAAGAACUCCCGGAAUGAGGUGCUAAUACCGGAGAAUGUACCCCAACCAUAGAUUUAUCGCCUUUGGAUGUGCUUGGGAUGGAUUAGUUAGUUGUUAGGGUAAAAGCCUAUAAAGGCGACGAUCGAUAGCUGGUUUGAGAGGAUGAGCAGCCACACUGGGAGUGAGACACGGCCAAGACUCCUACGGGAGGCAGCAGAGGGGGAUAUUGGACUACGGGCGGAAGCCUGAACCAGCUAGGCCGCGUGAGUGAUGAAGGCCGUAGGGUUGUAAAGCACGUUUACCCGGGAUGAUAAUGACAGUACCGGGAGAAUAAGCUCCGGCUAACUCCGUG